This is a non-coding RNA of Bombyx mori (domestic silkworm), 144 nucleotides long. NCBI's taxonomy places the organism in Eukaryota, Metazoa, Arthropoda, Insecta, Lepidoptera, Bombycidae. The record is from Rfam.
AACUUUGCGCAGAGGCAAUAUCGUAACUAAUGGGGUUUAUCAGAGGUGCGAUUAUUGCUAGUUAAAAACUUUACUAAAAGACACACUAUGAAAUUGGUGAAGCAUUAAGUUCUUAAAUGAAAAUUAUCACUCGAAUUAUCAUAA